Molecule: ribosomal RNA, 253 nt
Filed under: uncultured bacterium
Lineage: Bacteria
Description: partial 16S ribosomal RNA
Rfam family: Bacterial small subunit ribosomal RNA
Source: RNAcentral
UACGAAGGGUGCAAGCGUUACUCGGAAUUACUGGGCGUAAAGGGCGCGUAGGUGGCUUCUUAAGCGUGCGGUGAAAGCCUGGGGCUCAACCCCGGGUCGGCCGUGCGAACUGGGGGGCUGGAGCACUGUAGAGGCAGGCGGAAUUCCGGGUGUAGCGGUGGAAUGCGUAGAGAUCCGGAAGAACACCGGUGGCGAAGGCGGCCUGCUGGGCAGUUGCUGACACUGAGGCGCGACAGCGUGGGGAGCAAACAGG